This 315-nucleotide ribosomal RNA is filed under the name uncultured eukaryote. RNAcentral describes it as "partial 18S ribosomal RNA". It matches the Rfam family "Eukaryotic small subunit ribosomal RNA", at positions 1470 to 1796 of the family's 1831-position model. The record is from RNAcentral.
CCCUUAGACGUUCUGGGCCGCACGCGCGCUACACUGACCGGUGCAACAAGCAUCCGUCCUUGGCCGACAGGCCCGGGCAAUCUUUGAACGCCGGUCGUGAUGGGGAUAGACUUUUGCAAUUUUUGGUCUUCAACGAGGAAUUCCUAGUAAACGCAAGUCAUCAACUUGCAUUGAUUACGUCCCUGCCCUUUGUACACACCGCCCGUCGCACCUACCGAUUGAAUGGUCCGGUGAAGCCUCCGGAUUGGCGCGCACCUCGGUGCCGCCGAGAAGUUGGCUAAACCUUNCNAUUUAANGGAAGGUGAANUCGUANCA